This 672-nucleotide ribosomal RNA is filed under the name Paramecium caudatum. RNAcentral's name for it is "SSU rRNA". It matches the Rfam family "Eukaryotic small subunit ribosomal RNA", at positions 33 to 733 of the family's 1831-position model. The record is from RNAcentral. Lineage: Eukaryota; Ciliophora; Oligohymenophorea; Peniculida; Parameciidae.
GUUGCUUAAGAUUAAGCCAUGCAUGUCUAAGUAUAAAUAGUAUACAGUGAAACUGCGAAUGGCUCAUUAAAACAGUUAUAGUUUAUUUGAUAGUGCAAAUUACAUGGAUAACCGUGGUAAUUCUAGAGCUAAUACAUGCGCAAAUACCUGACGCAAGAAAGGUAGCAUUUAUUAGAUUUAACCAUCACAUGGUGAAUCAUAGUAACUUGGCUGACCGCGUGAAUACGUGGCAAAUCAUUCAAGUUUCUGCCCUAUCAGCUUUCGAUGGUAGUGUAUUGGACUACCAUGGCAGUCACGGGUAACGGAGAAUUAGGGUUCGAUUCCGGAGAGGGAGCCUGAGAAACGGCUACCACAUCUAAGGAAGGCAGCAGGCGCGUAAAUUACCCAAUCCCGAUUCGGGGAGGUAGUGACAAGAAAUAACAACCUGGGCGGUAAACGUUCCGGGAUUGCAAUGAGAUAAAUCUAAAUCCAUAAGCGAUUAACAAUUGGAGGGCAAGUCUGGUGCCAGCAGCCGCGGUAAUUCCAGCUCCAAUAGCGUAUACUUAAGUUGUUGCAGUUAAAAAGCUCGUAGUUGAAAUUCGAGUCAGUUGCUGAUUGGCAUCUUGUCAGUCUGUUAAUUGGCUCUCCGUCUACAAUCUCUUCUUGCGCCUUAGGGUUGGCGCUGAGUGAGUA